This 451-nucleotide ribosomal RNA is filed under the name uncultured bacterium. Its description in RNAcentral is "bacterial SSU rRNA". It matches the Rfam family "Bacterial small subunit ribosomal RNA", at positions 395 to 842 of the family's 1533-position model. The record is from RNAcentral.
AGUCGCGUGAGGGAAGACGGUCCUAUGGAUUGUAAACCUCUUUUGCAGGGGAGCAAGGCGCGGUACGUGUACCGCGAAGGAGAGUACCCUGAGAAAAAGCAUCGGCUAACUCCGUGCCAGCAGCCGCGGUAAUACGGAGGAUGCGAGCGUUAUCCGGAUUUAUUGGGUUUAAAGGGUGCGCAGGCGGACUGUUAAGUCAGCGGUAAAAUGUCGGUGCUCAACACCGGCCGGCCGUUGAAACUGGCAGCCUUGAGUGAGCGAGAAGUAUGCGGAAUGCGUGGUGUAGCGGUGAAAUGCAUAGAUAUCACGCAGAACUCCGAUUGCGAAGGCAGCAUACCGGCGCUCAACUGACGCUCAGGCACGAAAGCGUGGGUAUCGAACAGGCUUAGAUACCCUGGUAGUCCACGCAGUAAACGAUGAAUGCUCACUGUCCGGGCCGUUUAAGGCCUGG